UGACAACCUUGCCAAAGAGUAGUUGACUGUAAGCAAAGCACUGACAAUAAAGCAAAAAUAGACAACAGGGAACUAAUCCAACUAAGAAGCUUCUGCCCAGCAAAUGAAAAAAAAAAAAAAGAAACCCAAUGAAGUGAAAAAGUAACUGAUGGAAAAGAAUAGAUACAUGUAGAGCUGAAUCACUUGGCUGUGCAUUCAAAGCAACACGCAAUGCAAAUGAACUAUAAUUAAAAAUGAAAAAAACUAGUAUGAAAUGAAAGGGAGAAAAGGUAAUGGAAAGGGAGAAAAUGACUGGAAACCACGAAUCUGAUAAGGGGUAAAGUAGCAAAAUAAUGAGGGCCUUGGACGACUCAAUGGCUAAAGGACGAAUAUCCUAAUUAUACAAUGGGCUAAAGAUUGAAUUUUUAUUUCUCUAAAGAAGCUUUACAAAUGGCCAGCAGCUAUAUGAAAAGAUGCGCAUCGUUAUUCUUUGGCCACACUGUGUAGCUUGCCUGAUCUUGGUUGCCCAACCAGGGAUUGAACUCUGACCCCGACAGUGAGAGCGCCCAGUCCUAACCACUGGACCCCCAGGGAAUUCCCAUACUCAUUAUGAAUCAUCUGGGAAAUGGAAAUCAAAAUCAUAAGACAUCGCUUUUACCUGUUAGCCUAGCUGUUACAUGUGUUAGAGGACACUCGUGUUGGUGAGCAUGUGGAAGGCCUGGAACUCCUGACCACUCUUGCUGAGAACACACUUUGGUGCCACCACUAUGGAAACAGCAGGAGAGUUCCUCAAGAAUUACCAAUAGUUCUGCCAUAUGAUCCAUGUGGCUCUUCAGCUGAGCAGCUAUUUCCCAGUUCAAUUAAUCUGCUAGUGACUGUGGCUUUAUGUAUAAUUCUGAAGCACCCUCAGAAAACAAUACAAGUGGGCCACCCACAUGGUAAUUACAUGUGAUUCCAAGGUGUCCUCUCUGCAUGAAGAGAUACCUGUGCUAAAGAUGACACAGUGGUAACAAAACCCCAUUUGGGGUAAAAUCCCAUUUUCAGAAAGACUCAACAUAGACAUGGAAAUUGAGACAGAAAAGAAAAGGUCCCAAAUUUUCGAGACACUUUGGGAUUCUUCCUCUUU
This is a long non-coding RNA of Capra hircus (goat), 1105 nucleotides long. RefSeq lists it as uncharacterized. The transcript is spliced from 2 exons. The record is from RefSeq and is a predicted model, not a curated record. Lineage: Eukaryota; Metazoa; Chordata; Mammalia; Artiodactyla; Bovidae.